CCCUAUCAAACAAACACUUGCAAAUUCACCCUCUAAUGGAGGCCGGGACACACACAUAAACAAUUGUUACAAUACGAAAACGGUGCUCCUUUCAGUUUUCUCCAUAUCAGUAUUUCACUCCUAAACUCUUCACAAAACCAUCAUUAUCAAAUUAACAGCAAACAACUAAAGGUUCUGUAGUUUAAUAUUGAAUUUGCAGAACUUAAAAUUUUAUGCGUAACACGAAUCAGAAGCAGAAUCCCCGACCCAAAAGUUCCAUCCUCAUCUUCGUUCUCAUCAAACAAGAAAAAAUGGUCUUGAUGCACUGGAGCCAUCAAAUCAUUCUCAGCCCAUUUUUACAAGAUUAUAGCAGAAAACAAGCUUCAAGUCCACGGUUUCUUUUUCUCAAAUCUUACUAGUUCUUCCUAAUCCGAUGUACCUUGUAGCGUUUCAUUUACCGUGCAUUACAGUUACAUUUACCUUUGAGCUUAUCAAAUGUAAUGUUAACGAACUAACUUAAGAAGGCAACCACAACCAAGGAAGGGUAUAUAUCGGUUUUUUAUGCUCCUUAUCGUGCUUUUAUGACAUUUGGCAAGCUAAAUUCAAUAAUACAAAGGAAAAGAAGUCAAAAUCUUGUUCACUACAAGAGAAUCGAUGAACUUCAAAAACAAAAAGGAAUCUAUGUCCUUGCUCGCAUAAAACAUAAAUACGAGUAAAACUGAACUGAAAAGAUUAUUUCAAGUAACUCAUUCUACAUAAUAUGGCAAUUUGGAUGUGGAAUUUAAGCAUAGAGCUCUACAUAAGUAAAGGCUUUAAGAUUUAUCCAGCAGACUGAUAUAAUUCAGGCCUAAAGGAAACUGAAGGUCCAAUGGUAUUCGAACCGAACACUUCGAACAAGUUCUCAUUCCAAAAGAAAUGCGAUAUUGUUUCUAAAUUUGUCAGACAGUACACAACAAUGUACGAUAGUAAUGACAUUUUGAUAAACUCACAAAAAAUAGAAAGACAAGAAUCCAUGGAAAGUAGAAACCGGAAACGUCAAGAAGCCAACUCGAAAGUUAAAACCAAUUCCUAAUUGAAAAAUAUGAGAAACCAGUAAAUUUCCUAACUUGAUUUUAGUAAGGGUCCGUUUGAUUACAAAGGUGGAAAAGACAAACUAAUCUCAUAUAAGUUGGAAAAGAAAAAACCAUCAAAACCAUACGAAUUCGAUUUCCACUCAAUUGGCCAAAAGCAUACUUAAGUGUUUGUACAUUGGAAUUCGAACUUCAUUUUCACUUUCAUAUCAAACAGCCAAAGUAGAAAACGAAUUUUUCAGAUAUGAUAUUUUCCAUGGAAUUUAAUACUAUCAAACGGACCCUAAUAGUAACAUAUAGUAGUCCCCUUUUUUUCUUAUCUAUCUGCAAUUAUAUUUUGAACCACGUGCGUUGAACAAGCAUGUAUUAUGGGAUAUAAUUUUACAAUAAUCAAAUAAAGGAAUGCCAUACCAAUUCCAUCAUCGAAACACUGCAAAUACAUUGAGAUUAAUCUCCAAGACAUGCAAGCGAGAUUCCCAUUAAAAAAAAAUGGAUAAUAUCACACACAACAUACACACAAAUUUGUGAACAUUUAAAAUGUUAUUAACAUAUCAGGCAUAGCAUAUGAGCAAAGGCCAGAACUACAAUAACGCAUAUAUCAGGAAUGGAUAAAGAGUUCUUAUAUGUUAAUUGUUGAAGAUAAAUAAUAUCACAUCCUUGAACCACAGUUCAGCCUAAUAAAAGAACAGAGUUUGAUCAACAAAGAAAUUAAUACCAAUCUAAAUAAUUAAUACACCCAAUACAUAAAGCCUUUAACGCCUUAAAUAUAUUAUACCUGUAAGUGCACAAAAAUUACCUCUUUCCUGCAGGACACAGAAAAGAAAAGAUCGAAUGAAUAUCACUCCAGCAUAUCAAAAUUUCAGCCAUGUAUACCACUUUUAACUUCCAAUCAAAUCUCAUUUCACAUCUGGGGAUCUUUAUCUCCACCAUCUUCAGCAGGUGCAGUCUCAGUUUUUUCAGCACUAACAAAAAAUUAAAAAAUAAAAAAUAAAAAUAAGUUCAAUAAAAAACACGUCAGUAAAAAAGAAUCGAAUGGUACAUCAUUAUAUUAUAACACAAGACAGGUGAGGUUCUGAUUUCUACUGAGUUUCCUAAUCCUCAAUUUCAACUAGGCUCAGGCAAACCAUUUUUUCUUCAAAGAAUAUAUAAACUAAAUUAACAUUCUUCUGAGACAAACUCCCCCACGGAGAGGAAGGG
Molecule: long non-coding RNA, 2246 nt
Filed under: Olea europaea (common olive)
Lineage: Eukaryota; Viridiplantae; Streptophyta; Magnoliopsida; Lamiales; Oleaceae
Description: long non-coding RNA (OEUR_LNC012936)
Source: RNAcentral